AUCCGCCAAAACAUCUUCGGCGUUGUAAGGUUAAGCCUCACGGUUCAUUAGUACCGGUUAGCUCAACGCAUCGCUGCGCUUACACACCCGGCCUAUCAACGUCGUCGUCUUCAACGUUCCUUCAGGAGACCUAAAGUCUCAGGGAGAACUCAUCUCGGGGCAAGUUUCGUGCUUAGAUGCUUUCAGCACUUAUCUCUUCCGCAUUUAGCUACCGGGCAGUGCAUUGGCAUGACAACCCGAACACCAGUGAUGCGUCCACUCCGGUCCUCUCGUACUAGGAGCAGCCCCCCUCAGUUCUCCAGCGCCCACGGCAGAUAGGGACCGAACUGUCUCACGACGUUCUAAACCCAGCUCGCGUACCACUUUAAAUGGCGAACAGCAUACCCUUGGGACCUACUUCAGCCCCAGGAUGUGAUGAGCCGACAUCGAGGUGCCAAACACCGCCGUCGAUAUGAACUCUUGGGCGGUAUCAGCCUGUUAUCCCGGAGUACCUUUUAUCCGUUGAGCGAUGGCCCUUCCAUUCAGAACCACCGGAUCACUAUGACCUGCUUUCGCACCUGCUCGCGCCGUCACAGUCGCAGUCAAGCUGGCUUAUGCAUUGCACUAACCUCCUGAUGUCCGACCAGGAUUAGCCAACCUUCGUGCUCCUCCGUUACUCUUUAGGAGGAGACCGCCCCAGUCAAACUACCCACCAGACACUGUCCGCAACCCGGAUCACGGUCCACGUUAGAACAUCAAACAUUAAAGGGUGGUAUUUCAAGGUCGGCUCCAUGCAGACUGGCGUCCACACUUCAAAGCCUCCCACCUAUCCUACACAUCAAGGCUCAAUGUUCAGUGUCAAGCUAUAGUAAAGGUUCACGGGGUCUUUCCGUCUUGCCGCGGGUACACUGCAUCUUCACAGCGAGUUCAAUUUCACUGAGUCUCGGGUGGAGACAGCCUGGCCAUCAUUACGCCAUUCGUGCAGGUCGGAACUUACCCGACAAGGAAUUUCGCUACCUUAGGACCGUUAUAGUUACGGCCGCCGUUUACCGGGGCUUCGAUCAGGAGCUUCGCUUGCGCUGACCCCAUCAAUUAACCUUCCGGCACCGGGCAGGCGUCACACCGUAUACGUCCACUUUCGUGUUUGCACAGUGCUGUGUUUUUAAUAAACAGUUGCAGCCAGCUGGUAUCUUCGGCUGACUUCAGCUCCGUGAGUAAAUCACUUCACCUACGUGUCAGCGUGCCUUCUCCCGAAGUUACGGCACCAUUUUGCCUAGUUCCUUCACCCGAGUUCUCUCAAGCGCCUUGGUAUUCUCUACCUGACCACCUGUGUCGGUUUGGGGUACGAUUUGAUGUUACCUGAUGCUUAGAGGCUUUUCCUGGAAGCAGGGCAUUUGUUGCUUCAGCACCGUAGUGCCUCGUCGUCACGCCUCAGUGUUAAAGUGAACCGGAUUUACCUGGAACACAUACCUACACGCUUAAACCGGGACAACCGUCGCCCGGCCAACAUAGCCUUCUCCGUCCCCCCUUCGCAGUAACACCAAGUACGGGAAUAUUAACCCGUUUCCCAUCGACUACGCCUUUCGGCCUCGCCUUAGGGGUCGACUCACCCUGCCCCGAUUAACGUUGGACAGGAACCCUUGGUCUUCCGGCGAGCGGGCUUUUCACCCGCUUUAUCGUUACUUAUGUCAGCAUUCGCACUUCUGAUACCUCCAGCAUGCCUCACAGCACACCUUCACAGGCUUACAGAACGCUCCCCUACCCAACAACACACGGUGUCGCUGCCGCAGCUUCGGUGCAUGGUUUAGCCCCGUUACAUCUUCCGCGCAGGCCGACUCGACCAGUGAGCUAUUACGCUUUCUUUAAAUGAUGGCUGCUUCUAAGCCAACAUCCUGGCUGUCUGGGCCUUCCCACAUCGUUUCCCACUUAACCAUGACUUUGGGACCUUAGCUGGCGGUCUGGGUUGUUUCCCUCUUCACGACGGACAUUAGCACCCGCCGUGUGUCUCCCGUGAUAACAUUCUCCGGUAUUCGCAGUUUGCAUCGGGUUGGUAAGCCGGGAUGGCCCCCUAGCCGAAACAGUGCUCUACCCCCGGAGAUGAAUUC
RNAcentral lists this ribosomal RNA (2084 nucleotides) under Salmonella enterica subsp. enterica serovar Typhi. RNAcentral describes it as "partial 23S ribosomal RNA". Lineage: Bacteria; Pseudomonadati; Pseudomonadota; Gammaproteobacteria; Enterobacterales; Enterobacteriaceae. The record is from RNAcentral.